AUUGAACGCUGGCGGAAUGCUUUACACAUGCAAGUCGAACGGCAGCACGGACUUCGGUCUGGUGGCGAGUGGCGAACGGGUGAGUAAUGUAUCGGAACGUGCCCAGUCGUGGGGGAUAACGUAGUGAAAAUUACGCUAAUACCGCAUACGAUCUAUGGAUGAAAGCGGGGGAUCGCAAGACCUCGCGCGAUUGGAGCGGCCGAUAUCAGAUUAGGUAGUUGGUGGGGUAAAGGCCCACCAAGCCAACGACCUGUAGCUGGUCUGAGAGGACGACCAGCCACACUGGAACUGAGACCCGGUCCAGCCUCCUAAGGGAGGCAGGAGAGGGGAAUUUUGGACAAUGGGCGAAAGCCUGAUCCAGCCAUUCCGCGUGCAGGAUGAAGGCCCUCGGGUUGUAAACUGCUUUUGUACAGAACGAAAAGGUUUCUACUAAUACUAGGAGCUCAUGACGGUACUGUAAGAAUAAGCACCGGCUAACUACGUGCCAGCCGCCGCCGUAA
RNAcentral lists this ribosomal RNA (500 nucleotides) under uncultured bacterium. RNAcentral's name for it is "partial 16S ribosomal RNA". It matches the Rfam family "Bacterial small subunit ribosomal RNA", at positions 30 to 523 of the family's 1533-position model. The record is from RNAcentral.